GCUAAUACAUGCAAGUCGAGCGAACUGAUUAGAAGCUUGCUUCUAUGACGUUAGCGGCGGACGGGUGAGUAACACGUGGGCAACCUGCCUGUAAGACUGGGAUAACUUCGGGAAACCGAAGCUAAUACCGGAUAGGAUCUUCUCCUUCAUGGGAGAUGAUUGAAAGAUGGUUUCGGCUAUCACUUACAGAUGGGCCCGCGGUGCAUUAGCUAGUUGGUGAGGUAACGGCUCACCAAGGCCACGAUGCAUAGCCGACCUGAGAGGGUGAUCGGCCACACUGGGACUGAGACACGGCCCAGACUCCUACGGGAGGCAGCAGUAGGGAAUCUUCCGCAAUGGACGAAAGUCUGACGGAGCAACGCCGCGUGAGUGAUGAAGGCUUUCGGGUCGUAAAACUCUGUUGUUAGGGAAGAACAAGUACAAGAGUAACUGCUUGUACCUUGACGGUACCUAACCAGAAAGCCACGGCUAACUACGUGCCAGCAGCGGGGGGUA
RNAcentral lists this ribosomal RNA (495 nucleotides) under Bacillus sp. (in: firmicutes). Its description in RNAcentral is "bacterial SSU rRNA". It matches the Rfam family "Bacterial small subunit ribosomal RNA", at positions 46 to 523 of the family's 1533-position model. The record is from RNAcentral. Lineage: Bacteria; Bacillati; Bacillota; Bacilli; Caryophanales; Bacillaceae.